GAGCGAAGCGACGUCAAAGCGUUCAUUAAAGUCGAGUUGGCUUAGGGAUACGUUCGUUGGGUAGGGGAGCGUUCUGUAAGCCUGUGAAGGUGGCCUGUGAGGGUUGCUGGAGGUAUCAGAAGUGCGAAUGCUGACAUAAGUAACGAUAAAGCGGGUGAAAAGCCCGCUCGCCGGAAGACCAAGGGUUCCUGUCCAACGUUAAUCGGGGCAGGGUGAGUCGACCCCUAAGGCGAGGCCGAAAGGCGUAGUCGAUGGGAAACGGGUUAAUAUUCCCGUACUUGGUGUUACUGCGAAGGGGGGACGGAGAAGGCUAUGUUGGCCGGGCGACGGUUGUCCCGGUUUAAGCGUGUAGGUGUGUGUUCCAGGUAAAUCCGGUUCACUUUAACACUGAGGCGUGAUGACGAGGCACUACGGUGCUGAAGCAACAAAUGCCCUGCUUCCAGGAAAAGCCUCUAAGCAUCAGGUAACAUCAAAUCGUACCCCAAACCGACACAGGUGGUCAGGUAGAGAAUACCAAGGCGCUUGAGAGAACUCGGGUGAAGGAACUAGGCAAAAUGGUGCCGUAACUUCGGGAGAAGGCACGCUGACACGUAGGUGAAGUGAUUUACUCAUGGAGCUGAAGUCAGUCGAAGAUACC
Molecule: ribosomal RNA, 637 nt
Filed under: Salmonella enterica subsp. enterica serovar Norwich
Lineage: Bacteria; Pseudomonadati; Pseudomonadota; Gammaproteobacteria; Enterobacterales; Enterobacteriaceae
Description: partial 23S ribosomal RNA
Rfam family: Bacterial large subunit ribosomal RNA
Source: RNAcentral